GCCCUUUCUGUUGGUCUGUUGGUCUGUUGGUCUGUUGGUCUGUCUACGCCAACUUUAACAUUUUGCAAUAACUUUUGCUAUAUUGAAGAUAGCAACUUCAUAUUUGGCAUGCAUGUGUAUCUCAUGAACCUGCACAUUUUGAGUGGUGAAAGGUCAAGGUCAAGGUCAUCCUUCAAGGUCAGAGGUCAAAUAUACGUGGCCAAAAUCGCUCAUUUUAUGAAUACUUUUGCAAUAUUGAAGAUAGCAACUUGAUAUUUGGCAUGCAUGAGUAUCUCAUGGAGCUGCAUAUUUUGAGUGGUGAAAGGUCAAGGUCAUCCUUCAAGGUCAGAGGUCAAAUAUAUGUGGCCCAAAUCGCUUAUUUUAUGAAUACUUUUGCAAUAUUGAAGAUAACAACUUGAUAUUUGGCAUGCAUGUGUAUCUCAUGGAGCUGCAUAUUUUGAGUGGUGAAAGGUCAAGGUCAAGGUCAUCCUUCACAAGGUCAAGGUCAUCCUUCAAGGUCAAACGUCAUAUAGGGGGACGUUGUGUUUCACAAACACAUCUUGUUGAUACUUGUUUUUGCUAGGUUUGAAAUAAAUUGUUGUUUUAUUUAAAUAUUGCAAUUUAUGCUUAUAGGAAUACAGUAAAUUGUUGUUUUCAUUUUUACAAGUAAACGCCAUAGUCGAGUUUCUUUUUAAAACUAUUUGUCAAAACGGAAAUUUGCAUGAACCUGUGUAAUAGUUUGCUUUUGUACAUAAUACUAGGUAUGCUAGGCAUGUAUAAUAAUGACUUUGUAAAUGCCUAUAUCAAUAUAUUGUGUAGACGCUUUGUGUUAGUUGAUUUACCAAACCAUUAGAGUUUGAUUUAAUUGAAUAUUACACAUAACGGUGGAGUAUAACAUUUAACAUUCAGAUGUUAGUUGGUGAAUUGAGUAUUAUAUGUGCAACUCUUUGGCACACAUUUACUAUAUGCAUUCAAGCGAGUAGUAAUAUUUUAUAAGAAACUUAUGCAUUUAUGGAAUUAAAUAAGUUUGUUAUAGCCUAAUAGGACAUUGUACCAUAUAUAUUUAUAUGGUAAGACUGUUAGACAGUCGUUAAUGGCACAGUAUUUACUAAUGUCAUUUAUUUUAGCCGUUUCAAUGUGGUGAGUCGUAUGGUAUGAUAGACGUCAGGUCGUCAACGCACCGUUAGCGUGACGCCAGUGCUACGUGAGCAUCCGCAAGUCUACAGGGCGUCAUACUCGUUGACAGUACCUACGACACCUCGUUAUAAGGCGGAAAUACGGGGAACCGUUCGCACCGGUACAUGGCCGGUCACGUAAGACGUCAUCAGUACGUUCUACUUCCGGGCAUAGUCUGCUCGGCGUUUGACAACGUUCUACUUCCGGGCAUAGUCUGCUCGGCGUUUGACAACGUUCUACUUCCGGGCAUAGUCUACUCGGCGUUUGACAACGUUUUACUUCCGGGCAUAGUCUGCUCGGCGUUUGACAACGUUCUACUUCCGGGCAUAGUCUGCUCGGUGUUUGACAGAACACUACUUCCGGGCUUGAUACAGCUCGGGUAUCUCGCUCUACUUCUGUGCUUGAUAUAGCUCUGGUAACUACAGUCUACUUCUGUGCUUGAUACAGCUCGGGUAUCUACAGUCUACUUCUGUGCUUGAUACAGCUCGGGUAUCUACAGUCUACUUCUGUUCUUGAUACAGCUCGGGUUAUCUGCACUCUACGUUCGGGCUUGAUACAGCUCGAAGUUUGCUACUUCGCAGAACACUACAACCGGUACUCGGAUUCUGUUCUGGUCAUUGACGGCUGGACAUAAGUUCAGGUCGUGACACUCAAUAUUAAUCCACCACUACAUCUACCAUCUACAGUUGGACUACGUUAAUUGGCCAUUAACUUUGAUAUGUUUUUGUUCAUUUCUUUUAAUAGUCAUAUCAUAUUGUAAAUAGUUUAUUUUAAUGUUGUAAAUAAAUUGAUUUAUUUUU
Dreissena polymorpha is the source of this 1955-nucleotide long non-coding RNA. RefSeq lists it as uncharacterized. The record is from RefSeq and is a predicted model, not a curated record. The transcript has 2 exons. NCBI's taxonomy places the organism in Eukaryota, Metazoa, Mollusca, Bivalvia, Myida, Dreissenidae.